AUACGGAGGGAGCGAGCGUUAAUCGGAAUUACUGGGCGUAAAGCGCGCGUAGGCGGCUUUGUAAGUCGGAUGUGAAAGCCCUGGGCUCAACCUGGGAAUGGCAUUCGAUACUGCAGAGCUAGAGUAUGGUAGAGGGAAGUGGAAUUUCCGGUGUAGCGGUGAAAUGCGUAGAUAUCGGAAGGAACACCAGUGGCGAAGGUGACUUCCUGGGCCAAUACUGACGCUGAGGUGCGAAAGCGUGGGGAGCAAACAGGAUUAGAAACCCCGGUAGUCC
Molecule: ribosomal RNA, 274 nt
Filed under: uncultured bacterium
Lineage: Bacteria
Description: partial 16S ribosomal RNA
Rfam family: Bacterial small subunit ribosomal RNA
Source: RNAcentral